AUUGAACGCUGGCGGCAGGCCUAACACAUGCAAGUCGAGCGGUAGCACAGAGAGCUUGCUCUCGGGUGACGAGCGGCGGACGGGUGAGUAAUGUCUGGGAAACUGCCUGAUGGAGGGGGAUAACUACUGGAAACGGUAGCUAAUACCGCAUAACGUCGCAAGACCAAAGUGGGGGACCUUCGGGCCUCAUGCCAUCAGAUGUGCCCAGAUGGGAUUAGCUAGUAGGUGGGGUAAUGGCUCACCUAGGCGACGAUCCCUAGCUGGUCUGAGAGGAUGACCAGCCACACUGGAACUGAGACACGGUCCAGACUCCUACGGGAGGCAGCAGUGGGGAAUAUUGCACAAUGGGCGCAAGCCUGAUGCAGCCAUGCCGCGUGUGUGAAGAAGGCCUUCGGGUUGUAAAGCACUUUCAGCGGGGAGGAAGGCGGUGAGGUUAAUAACCUCAUCGAUUGACGUUACCCGCAGAAGAAGCACCGGCUAACUCCGUGCCAGCAGCCGCGGUAAUACGGAGGGUGCAAGCGUUAAUCGGAAUUACUGGGCGUAAAGCGCACGCAGGCGGUCUGUCAAGUCGGAUGUGAAAUCCCCGGGCUCAACCUGGGAACUGCAUUCGAAACUGGCAGGCUAGAGUCUUGUAGAGGGGGGUAGAAUUCCAGGUGUAGCGGUGAAAUGCGUAGAGAUCUGGAGGAAUACCGGUGGCGAAGGCGGCCCCCUGGACAAAGACUGACGCUCAGGUGCGAAAGCGUGGGGAGCAAACAGGAUUAGAUACCCUGGUAAUCCACGCCGUAAACGAUGUCGAUUUGGAGGUUGUGCCCUUGAGGCGUGGCUUCCGGAGCUAACGCGUUAAAUCGACCGCCUGGGGAGUACGGCCGCAAGGUUAAAACUCAAAUGAAUUGACGGGGGCCCGCACAAGCGGUGGAGCAUGUGGUUUAAUUCGAUGCAACGCGAAGAACCUUACCUGGUCUUGACAUCCACAGAACUUUCCAGAGAUGGAUUGGUGCCUUCGGGAACUGUGAGACAGGUGCUGCAUGGCUGUCGUCAGCUCGUGUUGUGAAAUGUUGGGUUAAGUCCCGCAACGAGCGCAACCCUUACCCUUUGUUGCCAGCGGUCCGGCCGGGAACUCAAAGGAGACUGCCAGUGAUAAACUGGAGGAAGGUGGGGAUGACGUCAAGUCAUCAUGGCCCUUACGACCAGGGCUACACACGUGCUACAAUGGCAUAUACAAAGAGAAGCGACCUCGCGAGAGCAAGCGGACCUCAUAAAGUAUGUCGUAGUCCGGAUUGGAGUCUGCAACUCGACUCCAUGAAGUCGGAAUCGCUAGUAAUCGUAGAUCAGAAUGCUACGGUGAAUACGUUCCCGGGCCU
RNAcentral lists this ribosomal RNA (1361 nucleotides) under uncultured bacterium. RNAcentral's name for it is "bacterial SSU rRNA". It matches the Rfam family "Bacterial small subunit ribosomal RNA", at positions 28 to 1381 of the family's 1533-position model. The record is from RNAcentral.